AACGAACGCUGGCGGCAGGCUUAACACAUGCAAGUCGAACGCACCGCAAGGUGAGUGGCAGACGGGUGAGUAACGCGUGGGAAUCUACCCAGAACUUCGGAACAACUGAGGGAAACUUCAGCUAAUACCGGAUACGCCUACGGGGAAAGGAUUAUCGGUUCUGGAUGAGCCCGCGUUGGAUUAGCUAGUUGGUGAGGUAACGGCUCACCAAGGCGACGAUCCAUAGCUGGUCUGAGAGGAUGAUCAGCCACACUGGGACUGAGACACGGCCC
RNAcentral lists this ribosomal RNA (272 nucleotides) under uncultured bacterium. RNAcentral describes it as "partial 16S ribosomal RNA". It matches the Rfam family "Bacterial small subunit ribosomal RNA", at positions 29 to 332 of the family's 1533-position model. The record is from RNAcentral.